Molecule: long non-coding RNA, 1146 nt
Filed under: Nicotiana tabacum (common tobacco)
Lineage: Eukaryota; Viridiplantae; Streptophyta; Magnoliopsida; Solanales; Solanaceae
Description: long non-coding RNA (NTAB_LNC013312)
Source: RNAcentral
AUGCCAUAUGUCCCAUCUCCGGCAGAGGAGGCCGGUCUGAAUUGGUCCUUGCAAUGGGAUGAACAGGGGAGGUACUGAGAGAGCCAGCCAUUGGAUGAGUAGGUGAGAUACUUGCAGCACCAACAACAGAGUGUAAGUCAUUCAUAACUUCACAUUCUUGCACUUCCCAUAUAUGAAUUAAUGUAUCUUCUCCUGCAGUUGCUAGGUAGCGUGCGUCCGAGCUGAACCUUAUGGUCCAUAUUGAGCCCUCAUGAGCAUGGAUUUCCUGACACAAGUGCAUAGCUGUGAGUUCCUUGUAGGACUUUCCAUGCUGGCGGACUUUAAUCCAUUUGGAGGAGUCCUUGUUUGGUUUCUGCUGUUCCUCAAGUGCAGUUUGCUCACGUUCUUUAUCAAUAAUUUUUCCGCUCAUGCUAUGUGCUACUCCUUUUAUGUUCUUCAAAAGAGCAACUCCUCUUCUCUUGCUAUUUCUGAAGCUCUUACUCAAAUAUGAAUUUGCGUUUAAUUUCCUCUCAUCAUCAUGAUUUCUUGAACCAUUUACCCGGCGCAUCAGUUCCUUUACAACAGGAGAAUAUCCCACAUAUUUCUCAAAUUCAUCCAUGGUAAGCUGCUUUCCUGUCUGAAGAUCACUGAGCUUAUUCCACAUUCCAUGUUCGUUGGACUCUUUGACAAUGAACUCCUUUCCAGUGUCCAAAUUCUUUAUCAAGAAGAAUGAAGCAAAGCCCACGUCAGGAUUCCUAUUCGAGAAUGUGGAUGUCGUAUCACUGCCAUUUUGCAUUGACAUUCCACUUGUGUUUUUUUUGCGUGACAUUCUAACAGAACCAGCUAAUUGGCAUAUUCCUAAGCUCGGUGCCAAAACACCUGAAAAUGUCCUAGUGAGACGCUGUUUAGAGAUGUCACCAAUUAGCUCCUCUUUCCUUUUCUUGGUAUUUACGGAAAAAUAUUGUAUGUCUCCGUCUGAUCUCGACCUGACCAGCACAAUUGGCUGUGAAGCUGAUGGCUGUUGUUCUUGAUUUAAUUCUUUUGCAGGAGAAUAUUCAGCCUUUGGUGGUUUGGAAUCUUGGCUGGUCUCAACUUUUCUUGAAAUGGCUCGUACAAUCUUGGCGCUUUUGAGCUUGAGUAGGUCCUUAUUGCUUGAUAACCCCAUGC